RNAcentral lists this long non-coding RNA (15453 nucleotides) under Coffea arabica (coffee). Its description in RNAcentral is "long non-coding RNA (CARA_LNC002053)". The record is from RNAcentral. Lineage: Eukaryota; Viridiplantae; Streptophyta; Magnoliopsida; Gentianales; Rubiaceae.
UUUUUUUUUUUUUUUUUGCAGAUGUUUACAAAAUUGACGUGGUUCCUGGGAAGACGUACCUGUUGAGGUUAAUCAGCGCAUCACUGAACACGGAGCACUUCUUUGCCAUUGCAAAUCACAAAUUAACAAUAGUCGAAGCCGAUGCUGAGUACACAAAGCCCUUCACCACCGACCACGUUAUGCUUGGACCUGGCCAGACCCUUAACGUUCUGGUCACCGCUAAUCAACCUAUAGCGAAGUACUCCAUGGCCAUGGGCCCUUAUAUGUCUGCAAGAAACGUCCCAUUUCAAACUAUAACCUCAACCGCCUACUUCCAGUACCUGGGUGCCCUGCCCAAUAGCCUCUCGUCACCGGCUCCCGUCCCAACGUUUAACGACAACCUUGCUGUUAAAACGGUCAUGGAUGGGCUGAGGAGCUUGAGCGGAACCCCGAGCGUUCCUAAGGAGAUUGACCAGAAUCUGUUCAUUACAAUUGGAUUGAACGUCCAAAAGUGCACUUCAAGGAAUCCACAGCAGAAUUGCCAAGGCCUCAACGGUGGGGUUAUGGCUGCUUCCAUGAACAACAUAAGUUUUAUUAAGCCUAACAUUUCGCUUUUGGAAGCUUACUACAGGAAGAUUAAUGGCUAUUUCACCGAAGAUUUUCCCGGGGCGCCCUUUAAAUUCUAUGAUUUUGUGAAUGGAGCUCCUAAUAAUGCCCCCGUGGAUACUAACUCAUUGAAUGGAAGUAGGACUUAUGUCCUUGAAUACGGGACUCGAGUUCAACUGAUCUUGCAGGACACAGGAACGGUCACCACUGAAAACCACCCAAUUCACCUUCAUGGCUUUAGCUUCCACGUUAUAGGAUAUGGCACCGGAAACUAUAAUCCAGACACAGCAAAUUUCAAUUUGGUGGAUCCGCCGUACUUGAACACGAUAGGAGUUCCAGUGGGUGGCUGGGCCGCUGUUAGAUUCCUUGCAGACAAUCCAGGUAUGUCUCUGCACGUUAUUACUAACAAUAGAAUGGCAUCAGGGCAUUGAUUAACAACUCGUGUACCUUUUUAGUUUUUCAUUUCUUAAAAAAAAAAAAAAAACCUAAAGAAUUAGGAUAUUAAAUUUGGAUACUAAAAUGUUACUGCAGGGGUUUGGUUCAUGCAUUGCCAUUUGGAGAUACAUUUGUCAUGGGGCUUGUCUGUGGUGUUUAUCGUGAAAAACGGGCAAGGACCGCUGCAGACCCUCCCCCAUCCUCCGGCAGACCUGCCCCGGUGCUAGUGAAAAGAGGCUGAUUUAAGCAAAGCCGUGAUAGAUCAUAAAACAUUGGAUGCUUUCUCUGAUCUUAUUUUCCAGCCAGAACUACUGAUGAGAUUCUUUUGAUCCAUGCAAGUGUGCCAUAGACGUGGGUUUUUUUUUUUUUUUCCUUUUUCCUUUUUCGGGACAUCAUAAUUUGGUGUAAAGAAACAGUUUGACGAAAUAAAAACUCAUUACCAUUGCUUUUGUCAAAAUCCUUAGAUUUUGUUGCCUUUUGCAUGUAAUAUGGGGCAUGUGCUCUGGUAUCAGCUGGGCAAGAAUCAUUGUAGCAUGCGGCAGCCUUUAUUUGGAACGUUCCAAUAUGCCCCCCAAAAAAACCUUGGCCAAAUCUGCGUUUUCUCUUCCAACAAUAAGAUUAGAUACCCAGUGCCGUCUGUACUAAAGUAGGUAGAACCCAGGGAUGUCCUUGCCUCGUGCAUUAUAACUCAGAUUUUACAAAAGCAGUUGGAAAGUAACCUUAGAAUAGGAAAAUGUCAAAGCAAGCUGCAUUUAUAAUAAUGACACUCCAAUUACUGAAUUACUAUUAAUUUUCAUGGUAAGAGACCAUACAAUGUAAAGGUGAUUUCUUUUCUUUUCGUUAGCGAAUUCAAGUCUAAGGGUGCGUUACGACUUUCAUCUCACCGUGCUCUCCAAAGAGCAACUCUUCUCAAAAUAUCAUUCAAAAGGUGCUGUGUUAACUUGGAAUCUCAUUCUAACUAAGGAUUCUUGUGGUUUCGGAGGAUCCAGCUACCGGAGAACCAGGAACAGAGAGCUCCCCCCUUCUGCCCGACUCUUUGGUCGAUCUUAAGAACGUUGAUUUUAAGCAUGAGUAAUUACCCUUCUCCGACCCUUACUAUCCAACGCAAACAGAAGUUUAAAUCUAUUAACUUAUUGAAUUAUUAUGUACUAAAUCUAAUAUAUUUGAGUAAUAUCACAUUAAGUGAACUUAUCAAUUAUUUUUAGAACCAAAUUUUAUCUAAAAAAUUCAGUGCUCAUUAAUUCAGAUGUUCAAAUUUUGAUUAUCAAACACGUGUAAAUAUGUUAAAAUUUGGAUCCAUUAAUUUUAAAUGUUGAAUUGGAUUAAUCUUGCAAACACGUCUGGAUAUUUUUGGGUAUUUAGAGUUGUUUUUGUUUUGGAUUUUACAAAGCAAGGUUUGACCUGGGACGUGAGAUCUUAAAUUCUUAAUUAACACAAAUAUGAAACCAACAAAAAAGAAAGAAAAGCGGCGAGGGUCUGAUUCAUAGUCUUGUGCUACGCACAAGGUUCACUCAUACUGCUAACUCUAAUUUCGUUAAUUCAAGACUAUGGGCAGACCAAACAGUCCAUCUAGGGACCAUUUCUUUCCUGAAUUGCAAAUUCGAGAAGACACCAUAAUGACUCAUAGCUAGCGACAAAACACAUCCACCUCAACAUUGAUAAAAGAGAAUUGCUAAUACUGCUUCCUAACAACCCCUUUUUUUGUUGUUUUGGGGGGGGGGGGGGGAGGGGGGCCGUGUCAGAAAGGUUCAAUACUUUUAAUCCCACUUCCCACCAUCAUUCCAAGCAGGAUGCUUAUUUUGAAUGGUGGGUAGAAUCUCAUCACAUUAGCUACCAGUUAGCUGGUUUAUAUUUUCAACUUGAACAAUAUCAGGGAAAAUUUUAACAGACAAGAUGUUGACAUCCCUAUGACAUGCACCACAAACAGAAUUGACGUAGCUCAUUCAAGGAUGUGGAUAUGGACUUACCUCAAGAAUUUUGAGACCUGCAACUCCUCUAGUUCCCAAAGCUUUUUUGUGACAGAUGGCCGAUACUACACAACUUUAGGAGUCAUUAACAUAAAAGCCAGCAGAUAGAAGGAUACUAGUAAGUCAGCAUUCAGACUGAUGGCAUCUAUAUUUUGUGGUCAUGAGAUUGAGAAUUUAGAGAAGCGCUGACUAAGAGUUACUAUAAGCUUUACUGUGCAACGCUCAUCAUCAACACAGUGAUAGUACAACAAAUUGUUUAUUAGAUAUUAGUUUAAGACAAAACAGGCAUUAAAUAAGUUGUCAAAACCUUAGUUAUAUUAAUAAAACACUUGUUCAACUAUCGGGCAAAUUUUACUUUCAAAACUGAAAAUAGACAGACUUCAGAAAGAGUGGCAUCUAACAACUUGAAGGAGACCAAAGUCUGGUACAACCAACUAUCAAGAUGGCAUCAGGUUCCACUAUAUGAGAUGCACAAAAAAGGCUGGGCAUAAAUAUACCCUUUGUCCCUGCUCAGCCCCCAAAGAGACGCACAGAAACAGAGCCGUGAUGCAAUCCCUUCCUUGGUAAGGCCUCUUGCUCAAAUGAGUAUUCCACGGCAUCGCUAGAGAAACUAAAAAUGUUCCUAAACUUCGAGGAAUGAAUAUGCCUGGGUUGUUCCAGCCCAUUGUUGGAAAAUGGUUGAGAUACUCAUUUGAACAAGAUGCUUUCCACGGGAGGGUUCCAACUACUGCUACAUUUCUUUGACUAGCAUCAGCGAAACUCCCAGUUGCUUUUUUAUCAAUGCCUGAGUCAAGAGCAAAAGACUUCUAACAACAAGGGACUUCCAGUGGCUUUCACCAGAUAAAGGUACGCAAGGUCAAAUUUUAUAGUUUGCGGGCAAGAGUUCUGACAUAACUUAUAAAUCAUAUACAACGAGUGAUGAUCCUCUUUUAUUUAUCUUCAAGAAAACUAGCAAAAUUCACAAGGGGUUCACAACUGUGGAUGGAUGAAAUUUUAUUACAAAUAAUAAGCUUUGAAAUUAGCUAAGGUUCAGCAUAAACCAUGGAAUCACAAGACGACACUAUGGAUUGACUUUAUCUGAAGUCCAGAACUUUUCCCCACUCCCAGUCCUUGUAGAUGUAAAAGAUUGCCUUUCAUUACUCUUUAAAUUUAGAUAAUCAACCUGUAAGCAAGACCAACAUCACAAAUUUAGGGAGGGCAGUAAUUUGUCUUAAGAUGAGGGACAGUCCCAAGAAGAUUUAAACCUGGUCAGGGUCCAGAAGAAGUAAGCAAAAUGCACCAACAGGACCAGUAGAAGGGUCUAAAGAGGUUUUUUCAGAUAAUUCUUCAUUGAGAGAAGGAAGUCCAGGAGUAGGUCCCAAAUACUGAAGUCUUGAUCUAAGCGAACUAGCAAACCAAGCUUUCUCUCUGUGCUGCAUUGUUUAUAUUGAAAUCUCAGGAACAAUAUAAUUCUCCAAGUUUAGUAAUAUAGAGAAAUGUAUUGCUGAUGCACCCACUUUACCAAGAAAUCCAUUUGUUUAUUGAGAAAGCUAACAUCAAUAACACAGAAAAAGCUCUCUAAACAACUUGUAUUUUCAAUAACACAGAAAAAGCUCUCUAAACAACUUGUAAUGUAAUACUCUGAAACUGUAAGCACAAUAAGUCUCAGAAGUACCAAAACAGAAAAUAUAGACAUUAGCUGCACAUAUUGAGCACGUUAAACAGACAACUGCUCACCAGCAAGGGAAAUGUGUUUGUCUAAAUUAAACUGGAAUUUGGGUGAAUUGACAAAAAAUGAAAUCCUUAACAUGAAAAACAAAAACCAAAAAGACAUACAUCUUGAAGGGGAUGCCAUCAUUGGCCAUGAGAAUACUUGACUUGAACUUUCAUACCUAACCAGUUGCUAAAACCAAACGACAGUGGCAAGGAUUCCAGACAAAAUCAGGCUUCUGAAGCAUCAUAGGUACUGGUACUUGGUAAAGCUUCCCCCCCCCCCCACCCCAACAACACAAAACAAACACCUUUCAUAGAUUUCACAAAAUGUUCAAAGUUUGUCAAUCAGAAUUGGAAAUAUCUAUCAUCCCACGUAUUUAUGCAUCCUUUAAGUCAUAAUGUCAUCUCAUUGGUUUCCGGUUGUAUAAUUCAUUCUUCAGGAAACAAAACUACAAAUCACAGACACAAAGUUAGAACAUUCACGAAUUCACAGACCAGCAACAGCAAGUGAGAGCAAGCUAAAAGGCACAUGAGACCAGGAGACUACUCAACAGUACCUGUAAUUUUAGAGGGUCAGCACUAUUUCCAUCAAUAAUAUCCACUUUCCCGUUAAUGCGGAAUUGCUCCCAGGUGUCAGUGAAAUACCAGCAUAUCUAUCCAGUUUACCAACAAUCAGAAUCAUCCAAUCUCCAGAAAACAUAAUAAAACAACAAAAAAAAUCUGGACUGCCAGCAAUUUUUUCUUUAAUUCUUUUCAUUUAUAUUGGUAAAAAGAGCUUUUUUGUGGUAUAAAGCUUUAAAAAGAAGAAACAAACUCUUCGUAGCACUCCAAUUUCAGCACUUCUUCCAAAUUACUGAGCCAAGGUAAAUCUUCUUAUAAAUAACAAACCUAUUUGCCUUCAGAGCAAAUACUACUAGCAGUAAAUAAGUAGUCCAACGAUACCUCAGCAAAAGGGCAAUGCUUGAGAUCUUCAAUCUGCAUUACUUUUAAGUAAAGAGCAACAUAAGUAGUAUUCCAAAAACGAACAUCUGGUUAUAACUUCAAAAAUGUCAUGAAGAAGCAGGAUUAGGCAAAACCGCCCAUUUCACCCAGCCCACGGAAAACGCACCCCCAAAAAAAAAAAAAAAAAGAUAUUGAAGGAACAGCAGAUUAUCCAAAGUUACUGUCUUUACUUGGUAAAUGUCAUUUGGGAAGCUAGAAAGAGGUGAUUCAAAAACAGCGCAAUUUCACCCAAUCCACCUAAAACGCACGGAUACAAUACAGAGAGAGAGAGAGAAAGGAAGAGGAAAUCACUAAAAAGAAAGCUAAUGAGAGAGAGAGAGAGAACCUUUCGAGUUCGGGAAUCAGUGUUCAUCUGAAUCUUAUCACUGUCGUCUUGGAAUCCUCUGAAAACAACAGUUCGAUUUGAGGGCCUGCCGUUAUUCCCUACUGUUGCCUGAAUUUACGUCAAAAAGAAGAGAGAGUAGUGAAAACCUUUCACCAAUACAGAUAACCCGAGAAACCAAAAAUAAAGAGGAAAAGGGGGAAUCAUAAGCUGCUGCUGCUGAGCCAUACAAGUUGAAAAUAGGAGGAGUGCUUGAGGUGGGAAUUUGAUUGGAGGGCAUUUAAAAGAAGCUGCUUCCAUGGAGCCGUUGCUGAGCUUCCCAUUCUCCGGCGGCAACUUUACAGGAUUUACACAGGCUGGCUCUGGCUGUUUUUGCUCUGAUUAUUUUGAUGCAUCGCUUCUAAAUCAUGCGUUUGCGUACUAGGGACAUGAGAACACGUAAACGGAGGAGAGCCCGGUCGGCCCCGUGGCCAAGAAAAAGACGGGCUGGCCGCUUUAGCUAAAACCAGGAAACCGGAACCGGAACCGGAACGGAGGGACAUCCUGAAAACGACACCGCUUCCCACAAGCAUAAGCCCAUACCAAUGAAUUAGGAAGCUUCCGUCUCACAGACACCUAGAAUCUACUUCAUUGGGCCAAUAUUUUGCAUUGGGCUUUUCCUUCUGUUAGUCGUGGAAGUUAUCCAAAAAAAACAAAAAAUUUUUUUUAUUCCAAUUCGAUUUUCUUUGAUAUACUAGAUGGAAAAUAGGAAUGUUACACUUACGGACGAUACUUAGCCACUUUUUUUUUUUUUGUUGCUAUGAUCAUCAUUAUUAUAUCUCUUUAACCUUAUAUUUGAAGGUAUUUUUAUUCUAAUUCCUCAUAAUAUACAAAUUAAAGAUCGAGCAUCUGUAUGUGCAUAACUUUUAGAAUUACAGUACCUAUGAUGUUUGAUAUUUAUGAUUCAACUCUCAAUGCUUUGCCUUUCCAUUUGUAAAGUUAGGAGUCUUCUCUUGAACCCAAAAAAAAGGAAUUCAAUAUGUAAAGUUAGCAGAGGAAUGAAUUAAGGUGCAAUACAGACAAUAUUUGUUUUUUUUUUUCCAGCGAAUACAUAAGGAGGUUUACUGUAUUUAACCCUUAAAAUUAUAUAAAAUAUAAAAUUAACAACCCCCAACCCCCCCCCCCCCCCCCCCCCCCCCCAAAAAAAAACUAAGUAGUAGAAAGAAAAUUUUUCGUUUUCGUGAACGGGGCGGACCCUAGUGUUAGGUUCCAUGAACUAUUCUGUCAAAGCAUAUGUAGAGAAAGCGAGUUAACAAACUUGCAUGGAUUAUGCAUAUAUGAUAUCGCGACUACGUCGCAAUGGAAACUUGAGGUCAGGUGUCUGAUAUGGGCUGGUCUACAACGAUUUGGCCUUGUAAAACUUGGUGCUAGUAAAUUUGAUCCAAUGAAUUACCGAGCCGGACUCGGCUCCAGCAAAGCUCACCGUAUUGAACUUCUUUUCCGAAAAAGAAUGUGGGCGAAUUCCAUUUUAUCAACCAAUUUAAAUUUGCUUGUAAUUAAACUAGUGGCCAGCUGUAAUUGCCAUGACUUUGGAGCAAAGGGCUUAGAUAGUAUGGCACCUUUGAUCUAUCUAUUAAUGCUACUAAUAUGCAGUUUCUUGGUGGUCACCGAGACAUUUAAGUCUAGGUGGGUUUCACUUUGCCACUUAAUUGUGGCUUUUUUCGACAGAAAAAUUCCGUCUGCUUUCUUCCUUUUAGAUUAGGUUACAAUAGGUUAUACAAAUAUUAUCGUUGCGACAAAAAAAAAUGCAGUUUUGGUGGGCAGAGAGCAUAGUGAAACAUGCUUCUUUGGAUUCCAUGCUUGUUAGUAGUAAAUCGGAAAUACAUUUUGUUUCCUGAUUUGCAGCCCAAUCUUGAGAUAUAGCAACGGAAGAUUUGACCCCAAAAAAAAUGGAUAAAACAUUUGUAAGGCCUCGUUUGAAUUGCUACUCUUUCGGAAAACAAAAUUUUGUUGAGUUUUUUUUUAAAAAAAAAAAAUUAGAAGUAUUCUCUUUAUAUCUCUCAAACACCUUUAUUUCACACAUAGUACAUGUCAAAAUAAAUAAAAAAAAGAGUUGCGCUGUUGCUGGUUUCCUAUGGGGAAAAAAAAUCUCAAAAAUACCAAUCUCGUGGGGUAUACAUUUUCCAAGCUACGAGUUAUUUAUUUAUUUAAUUUUUUUUUUGGGUUCCCCAGCAGUUGGGGCCAGGCGGUAACUAGAAAGCAUGCGUUACGCGCACCGGAGCUUAGAAGUGUAGACUGUAGUGUAGCAGAAAACGUGGAAUUCCUUCAUUCCUACUUUGUACUAAAAGUACUAAUCAAUGAAUGCCACUGAGAUAUGGGGAGGACUUUUGGCUAUUUCCUGGAAGACUUCUUUCUACCGAAAAAAAAUAAAUUUUUUUUGUUUUAGCAGGGGAUAUAGACAAGAGGAGGUCUCAAAUCUCAAUCAUAGAAAAGGAAGACAAUUUCUCCCCUCCAUUUAGGAUUUAGCAACUCUUUUGGGUCCUACCAUAAAUCCCGUUGUCGGCCUCUCUCUCUCUCUAGUCUCCCUAUCACGCACUAAAAUUUUCUUCUGUUUACAAGUCUUCUUCAGUUCAUCCUAAUUGGCAUCUAUGCGAGGGGUCCCUGUGGUCGUUUCUUCAAAAAGUUCUGCAUCCAUUAUGAGUAAUAUUUAUCCGCUUUUUUUUUUUUUGAGAAAUUCUAUUUGCAUUUCUCCUUUUUUUUUUUAUCAAUUAAUCACGUUCUUACUUUCAUUUUAUUCAUAUAAUUUUCAUUUAUUAGAUUAUAUGUUAAAGUAAAUGAUGAAAGUGCAAAUAAUGAAAAAUGGAGUCACUGCCUGACUUUUUACAUGCAUGGCUAUUGAUCCAGCUAUGACAUGGCUAACCCAUGUUCCUCGUCUAAGGCCUCAUCAAUUAAACCUUUGGAUAGAGUAUUAUUUGAAAUAUCAUUUGAAAUAAUUACCGUAACACUUUUUAUGAUGUGAUGUAUGUGAGAUAAAAAAGUGAGUUGGAAAUAUAAAAAAGUGAGUUGAAAAAUGCGUUUAUGAUGCAAGCGAAAUAUUAUUUGAGAUAAUUUGCUAUCCAAACGCUCAGUUCAUUAUAAACUCAUUACACUUUUGUAGAGAAUGAAUGCCUUGAUCUAGUUAUUAGAGUGGAGGCUCCAGAAAUUGAAAAUCCUGAAUUCACAUUUUCUCCCCCUUCCUAUUUUUUAAAUUCACCAUUUCCUUACUUUAAAAAAUAAUAAUAACUAUUACACUUUUCCCUUUACAAAAAACUAAACUUCUUACAGUUGAGGAAAGAUUUUUGUUCCCUCUUUUUUCUUUUGACAUAAAACUCAAGGUAUGUUGCAAAGAUUAUUACACAAUGGAAGGGGUAAAUAUAUAACUUCGCACACAACCCCCCCCCCCCCCCCCCCCAAACAAACAAAAAAAAACAAAAAAAAAAUCCAUUAGUUACCGCGGACAAAAAAUACAUCAGUGACAGGCUAACAUGCUGAGAAUUUAAACAUAUCUACAUCUACUUUUUAAGUGAAUCCGACUACAAGUACAUUAAGUCAACAAAAAAAAAAAAAGGACUAAUAUUAACAACAUCAAUAUUGAUUAUUGACUAAGACAAAUUGAGGCAACAAGAUAUAUAGUCAGCUCAUCGGAUUUUCCUCGUUAAUCUCAAAAACUUAAAAUAGGGCACAAAGGAACGAGGGUGGUGGAGGCCGGAGGGAAGGAAGAAAAAGGGAUGAAUUUGGAAGCAUUUUAUUGGGAGCAGACCUGUCUAACUUCAAUCUAUCUUCAUUCCGCUUCUGUGUAGAAGGUUUUCUUGAAACUAAAGAAGGUACUAUUAAUUAUAACUAAAGAAGGUUUAGGAGCUUUAGAGGUCAAGCAUAUAUGGUAAACAUAUACAUAUAUGUAUAUGGGGCAUAAACCUUGCCCUUUCCUUCUCUUGAUUACUUUACUUCAGGCAUUUGUGUAACUGUAAAAUAAUGUACUAAUUCCUGCAUGAAAGCCUCAUGUCAUGUAUUAAAUAGCACAAAAAAGCUAGCUAACCUGACAAAGUGUGGAAUAUACUAGUACUUAGCUUGGGAUGGGGGUUUUUUUUUUUUUUUUUUUUUUUAUGGCAGGGUGGGGUGGAAUUAAUAGUAUGCUGCUGCAUCGUACGUUCAAAGUUAGUUUGAACCUAGAAAUGUACGAAGACAUAGCAUCAAUCUGCAAGCAAAAAAGAGAUUGUAUACGUGUGGGGUUUGGACGAGCACAGUCUACCCAGUUGUACCUCAGGCAGAAUGCCACGGUUAAUUACAGGCAAUCAGAUACGAAGAAUGGCAUAAUGAUGGUGGAAGGAUGUGGUUGGUGAGAAGUCCGUUGUCUUUUUCCGAAUAAUUCCCUGAGGAGUUGAAGACGGCUAGCUUUAGGGGAGAAAGAAAGACCAAAAGGCAAAAUUGUUCUUGAGAAUUAAGCAACAUAGAUUCGAAAGAAACCAGAAAAAGCAAAUCUUUGGUGACCCUAAAAAGGUUUUCCUACGUACUUAUAGAGGGCUAACAUCACAAACUAGAAACAUGGACGACAAUGGUACACAUGCAAACAAUCCCAGUUGGUGAAGUUUGUUGGUGACAUAUCAUUCUACUCCCCCCCCAAAAAAAAGAAAAAAAAAUUCUGCUUGAAUUAUUUUGCAAGAUUGAACGACAUCUUCUAAAUUGUCGAGAUUCAUGCAAAAGGUGCACAUAUAUUCCAGCAGGCAAGUAAAAUAUUUGUUGGUCCAUGUCAUUUCAGCAAAUUCGGAGGAUCGUCUGGAGUUUAAAAAACCAGUUCAUCAUAUGAGUAGAUGAUCAUAUAAAUUCCAGAAAGCCAACCAACUCAAGACUCAAAUGAAAGGAUUGUAAGAAUGCAAUUGAACUACUGUCGACGAGAGAGCAAUUAGAAUCGAGAGUUCCCCCAUUAUAGGGUCAAAAAGGCAAAACCCACCAUCGGAGAGACAAUUCAGAAUUCCACUCACGAAGUUUAAAAAAAGAUUAGAUACACAGAGCUUUCUAAUUGAAUAUCAGACAAAAGUUCAAACAGGGAAAUGACACUAAAAUAUCCUGCUUUUAAUAUGAGUAUAGUCAAAACAAACACACAUCCAUCAUCCCUCUUUUCCUUCCAUCAUCGCAUAAAGUAAGCCAACACUAAAAGGACCAACACACAAACAGCUCUAAAACAUUCUUUCUUGUAUCAUCAAGGACAGCUGCAGACAAAGGGGCUGAAAUUUUCUCCAUCUCAUAAGGUUGCUUUUUUAUUGGUGACCUUUUUUUUUCCUCUCAAUUCAUGGAUACAACUAAUCAAUGGACUCAGGUUGGUAGAAGCACUUGAUCUCCAUGUUUACUUGCUCCGAAUAAGUAUGUAAAUACUUUCAAAUCCAGUAUUAUGAGUUUUAGGGUUCACUUGGAAAGUUUUCCCACUUUUUUUUUUUUUUUUUUGAGAGCCUUAGUGGAUUACGCUUUGUUGAAAUGAUGUUCAAGAUCACAAAUGACGGUUGCACCAGGACCAAUUUUUUCAUUUUAAACUUUGCUAGCUUUUCUGCUGAGAUUGAAGAUUAAUUAUGUUCUUUAUACAUGAAAGGACUGCACUUUUUCUUUCUUCUCCUUUUUGCAUGUGUGCUAACCGAUAAAAGGGAACUGGGAAAAGUUAUUCUUCGUUAUUAUUGCUUGUUUCUCCUUUGAUUCAAAUAACUUUCCAAAGUGAAAGUUUGUUUAUUUUAAUUUGUCAGCUAGUUUAAAUUUUUUAUUUUUUUUCCAAACUGUUGAUUGAUCCUCUAGCACCAAAUUUGAUCUUGUAAAUCUCUGGCUUUCAUGCUUUUGUUAGGAGAUUGGAGGGUUGAAAAGUAUGGGUGAGAUAGCUUCCAGUCCAUGCUCCAGGCCAGUGGUGCAGGAAAGAAAGGUUAGGCCACAAAAGGAUCAAGCCCUGAAUUGUCCACGGUGUCAUUCAACUAAUACCAAGUUCUGCUAUUACAACAACUAUAGCCUUACUCAACCAAGAUACUUCUGUAAGACCUGCAGAAGGUAUUGGACUGAAGGUGGAACUCUGAGGAAUGUUCCAGUUGGAGGAGGCUCAAGGAAAAACAAAAGAUCUACUACUACUAAUACUUCAUCCCACAAACAUCCUGAUCUGAACCCUCCGACCAUCACUCACUUCGCUUCUCAAAACCCUAAGAUCCAUCCUCAAGGCCAAGACCUUAACCUAGGUUUCCCAGCUUCACAAGAUUAUCAUGGUCAUGCUUCUAAAAUAUUUGAACUACCCAAAGUUGAUGUCAGCGGCUGCAAUCAGCUAAAGUCUUCAUCUUCUGCAUCCUCAGCUCCAUUCGCCGCCCUAGAGUUUCUAAGGACAGGAAUUGUUUCGAGGGGGAUGAAUUCCUUCAUCACAAGUACGAUCCCAGCUGUGGACCUAAAUGCUCUCUAUAACGCUCAAGGGUUUCAAUUCCAAGAUUUGAAGCCAGCAGCUGGCGUCAGUUUUUCUGUUGAUCAUCAUGGGCUUGGAAAUAGGUUUGUUAAUGCUCCUAGCGGGAUCCAAGAAAAUGGUGGGCGACUAAUGUUUCCUUUUGGAGCAGUCAAACAAGGUACAAGCACAAGUGCAGUCGAUCAGAAUAAGGGACAAUCAGAUUCAAGUGGAUAUUGGAAUGGAAUGUUGGGUGGGGGAUCAUGGAUGUAAAGGUAGUGAUCCAAGGACAAAUCAGAUGCGGAGUCUCUUCCUUCUUCCAUCUGGGGCUACUAAUACUUUCUCUUUAGUAACAAGAUUUUUUUUUUUUUGAUCCUCCCUUUUUUUUUUCCUUUCUUUUUGGUACUUUCCCUUUUCUUUUGGUUUAGUUACGAAUUUGGAGUUGUUCAGAACUAACAUAUUCACCUAUGCAAUUUCUUUCUUCUUCAUUUCAAUGUAAUGUACUUAAUGUGACCCUUCCGGCUGUGUUAAGCUAUCAGGAAUUUUUUUUUUUUUUUUUAUAAAAUGUAAAUGAAACAAGCUGAUUGAAGCGUUAGCUUGACUAGAUUGGAUUCUAGGGAUUGCUACUUCAUACGACGUUGUUGCAUUAAUUCUCUCACGGUAAGUUAUAGGGUUUGCCUAACAAUUGAAUUGUUCAUUUGACACUCAUGCACCAAGUGAGAUAUUAGAUGUUAAUUUUUCUGAAAAAUAGCAGCAUUAAACAAAAAUAAUAAUAAUAAUAAAUGUGAGUUUAUACAUUUAAAUGACAAGUUUAAUGUCGUAAAUGCUACUAUUAAGUGAUCAUUGAACACUUGCUAUAGACAGCUUUAUUUAUAGGGCACAAUGAUUUAUGUAGCACCUCGAUAAUUGGUUUGUGAUCAUUUAAUCAAUUAGGGUCCCGUCCCGGGGUUCGGUCGAAAAUGCGGAUAUUCAUGAAGGAGAGUUCACACAUUGUAAUAUCUUUCUUUUGGUGAGCAGGUAAGAAGGAAUGAACCAGAAUUCUAUCCAGGGCCUACGGGGUAGCCAAUGCCAUUUGUCCUGAUGCUGUGAAUUCUCUCCAGAAGAAGAGGGGGGGCAGGGCACCAAGCUGUUCAAGCAGUUGACCGUACCUACCACUCACAGCAGGAGACAUUUGUCUCUGUGAUUUGUUGAAUAAUAUGACAGUCAAGAAGAGUUUCCAGAGCUAUUUUGUGUAGACGCAUUAUUGUAGAGGAGGAGUGACGCCAACAUUUGCUUAAUUGCUUUACAAAAGAAAGAACGAACGCUUGCUAUGCUAAUCGUUGAAUGAGAUGAUACAUGCAUGUAUAAGGGCUGCAAAAUACGAUUCAUUCACAAGCAAAGAUGCAAACUAACUAAAAAAGAACACAAACUGCAAUAUAUGUUGAUUAGAGCAGUGAUUUUUUGAAAGCUGUUAUAUAUACAGUCAUUAGCAGGCUUCAGAUUUGUAUCCCAGAGCGUCGGUCUUCGCAAAUUUUGUGUAUAUUUAUCAUGAGGCAGGAAAUUAAUUACUGCCACAACUAGGAAAUUAAACUCUUCUUGUUUGUUUGUACAAGCUGCUGAGUAAUUUGUUCAAAGAGGGUGGGCAAAAGGCUACGGCGCUGAUGAUAGGGAUAGGGAUAGGGACGCCCGUACUCUGGAUCCUGCUUUCAAAUCAGUUUGAAUAAAAUGCUAAGCUGGUUGACACGUUAACUCCUGUGCCUGCUAGUACCUAGUAAACAGUAGUGAGACGACUGCGGAUAAAUUUCACAGAGCUUAAUUAACGAUGAUGAUUAUCAUUAACAAAUUGCGAAUAUUAAAAAAAAUAAAAAAGAAAUAACAUUUUACCUGCCUCAACUCUACCAAAUCCACCUAAUCCGUCUCCAUGUCCACCUAAGUACGGAGGAGGUCAAUUAAGGCUCUUUCUUGUGUUGAUGGCGAAAGUUAAUAAUGAUCAUUGCAUGCCAUAUUACUUACCCCAAAAUACAUACAUACAUACAUACGUACGUAGUUAAAAUCCAUCAACCUACGAAUGCUACCUGUGAAAUGAAACGUAGAUUCACAAGUAGUAGUAGUAGUAUUUUUUUCCAAGUUGAAUUGACAGUGUCGGGUCAUCAAAAUCCAUUUAAAAGACCCGGGGAGGGGGAUGGGGGGGAGUACAUAUAAAAAAAUAGCAGUGAGAGCCGCGGCAUGACUACUAAUCAUAACUUUGCAUGUUAUCCAUCCAGCACCCAUUAUUAAUUAUUAUUCAAAGAAACGCAUAGAAAAGUCUGACAAUUCUUGCGCCUUGCGGUGGUGAUGGGACUUUUUGGGGGGGGAGGGGACCUCAAACAUUGGUGUGCAGGUAGUCUGGGGCUGGGGCUGAGGAAUAUCACCAUCUCCACGAAUGACUCUUGAGCCCAGCCAUUUGGUUAUUUUGUGUGUGUGUGUGUGUCUAUAUAUACAUAUAUAUAUAUAUAUAUAUAUCCUGUUGGUAGUCUAGUACCAGGAUAAAUUCAUUCUGUGAGAAUGACCCUGCUUUCGUCUGUCGAUUGAAUACGCUAAUGUUUUAGCAGCUUAGACUCUUCCAUAAGUGCCCGCGAUACAAUACAUACAACCACAGAUUGAGAGUACCGCGUAGUUCUGAUGGAAAUUUCACAGUAACAUUAUGCAUGGAUCAAUUUAAAUAUGCUAGUAAAGGCAGGGCAGAGCUAAUUUAAAAACCUUCGUCUUACCUCAGACGUCAGACCCAGCAAGGAUUCAUAUUUUCACUUGCUUGUCCAUUCAUUUUCCAGCUAUAAGUCAAAGAGAUUGAAAGAGACAUAAUUAUCGAGAGAACCAUAUGAAAUACAAACAAAAUAUUGUACUCUUGGACAUCACAAUAACACUACUACUAUACAGAGAUUACUCGAUACAUUUAUUGCUUCAAUCUCCAAAGGCAUACAAAAGCAGUUUCAGACACAAAAAAUGCUACAUGAGCAAAAUAUCCUUUCCAGUUCUGACCACUGUACAUCAAGAACUCUUCUGCAGGACGAGGAAGGAAC